AUACGAAGGGGGCUAGCGUUGUUCGGAAUUACUGGGCGUAAAGAGCGUGUAGGCGGAUUAUCAAGUCAGAGGUGAAAGCCCAGGGCUCAACCUUGGAACUGCCUUUGAAACUGAUAAUCUUGAGACUCGGAGGGGAUGGCGGAAUUCCUAAUGUAGGGGUGAAAUCCGUAGAUAUUAGGAGGAACACCGGUGGCGAAGGCGGCCAUCUGGACGAGUACUGACGCUGAGACGCGAAAGCGUGGGGAGCAAACAGGAUUAGAAACCCUAGUAGUCC
RNAcentral lists this ribosomal RNA (274 nucleotides) under uncultured bacterium. Its description in RNAcentral is "partial 16S ribosomal RNA". It matches the Rfam family "Bacterial small subunit ribosomal RNA", at positions 523 to 796 of the family's 1533-position model. The record is from RNAcentral.